RNAcentral lists this ribosomal RNA (480 nucleotides) under uncultured bacterium. Its description in RNAcentral is "bacterial SSU rRNA". It matches the Rfam family "Bacterial small subunit ribosomal RNA", at positions 25 to 518 of the family's 1533-position model. The record is from RNAcentral.
CAGGACGAACGCUGGCGGCGUGCUUAACACAUGCAAGUCGAGCGGAGAAUAUAGCAAGUAUAUUCGUUAGCGGCGGACGGGUGAGUAACGCGUGGGUAACCGUGCCUUUUACAGGGGGAUAACACUGGGAAACUAGUGCUAAUACCGCAUAAAAUAGUGAAGUGGCAUCACUUUACUAUCAAAGGAGCAAUCCGGUAAAAGAUGGACCCGCGUCCGGAUUAGCUAGUUGGAGGGGUAACGGCCCACCAAGGCGACGAUCGGUAGCCGAACUGAGAGGUUGAUCGGCCACAUUGGGACUGAGACACGGCCCAGACUCCUACGGGAGGCAGCAGUGGGGAAUAUUGCGCAAAAUGGGGGAAACCCUGACGCAGCAACGCCGCGUGAAGGAUGAAGGUUUUCGGAUUGUAAACUUCUUUGAUUGGGGACGAUAAUGACGGUACCCAAAAAACAAGCCACGGCUAACUACGUGCCAGCCGCUGC